This 500-nucleotide ribosomal RNA is filed under the name uncultured bacterium. RNAcentral describes it as "partial 16S ribosomal RNA". It matches the Rfam family "Bacterial small subunit ribosomal RNA", at positions 28 to 507 of the family's 1533-position model. The record is from RNAcentral.
GACGAACGCUGGCGGCGUGCCUAAUACAUGCAAGUCGUGCGGACCUUGUUGAAAGCUUGCUUUUAAAAGGUUAGCGGCGGACGGGUGAGUAACACGUGGGCAACCUGCCUGUAAGACUGGGAUAACGCCGGGAAACCGGGGCUAAUACCAGAUCGUUUUUUCCUCCGCAUGGAGGAAAAAGGAAAGGCGGCUUCGGCUGCCACUUACAGAUGGGCCCGCGGCGCAUUAGCUAGUUGGCGGGGUAAUGGCCCACCAAGGCAACGAUGCGUAGCCGACCUGAGAGGGUGAUCGGCCACAUUGGGACUGAGACACGGCCCAAACUCCUACGGGAGGCAGCAGUAGGGAAUCUUCCGCAAUGGACGAAAGUCUGACGGAGCAACGCCGCGUGAGUGAAGAAGGCCUUCGGGUCGUAAAACUCUGUUGCUGGGGAAGAACAAGUGCCGUUCGAACAGGGCGGCGCCUUGACGGUACCCGGCCAGAAAGCCACGGCUAACUACGUG